RNAcentral lists this ribosomal RNA (548 nucleotides) under uncultured bacterium. Its description in RNAcentral is "bacterial SSU rRNA". It matches the Rfam family "Bacterial small subunit ribosomal RNA", at positions 355 to 896 of the family's 1533-position model. RNAcentral also lists the same sequence under 1 other name. The record is from RNAcentral.
UGGGGAAUUUUGGACAAUGGGCGAAAGCCUGAUCCAGCCAUGCCGCGUGCAGGAUGAAGGCCUUCGGGUUGUAAACUGCUUUUGUACGGAACGAAAAGCCUCUUUCUAAUAAAGAGGGGUCAUGACGGUACCGUAAGAAUAAGCACCGGCUAACUACGUGCCAGCAGCCGCGGUAAUACGUAGGGUGCAAGCGUUAAUCGGAAUUACUGGGCGUAAAGCGUGCGCAGGCGGUUUUGUAAGACAGAGGUGAAAUCCCCGGGCUCAACCUGGGAACUGCCUUUGUGACUGCAAGGCUGGAGUGCGGCAGAGGGGGAUGGAAUUCCGCGUGUAGCAGUGAAAUGCGUAGAUAUGCGGAGGAACACCGAUGGCGAAGGCAAUCCCCUGGGCCUGCACUGACGCUCAUGCACGAAAGCGUGGGGAGCAAACAGGAUUAGAUACCCUGGUAGUCCACGCCCUAAACGAUGUCAACUGGUUGUUGGGUCUUCACUGACUCAGUAACGAAGCUAACGCGUGAAGUUGACCGCCUGGGGAGUACGGCCGCAAGGUUG